Molecule: ribosomal RNA, 92 nt
Filed under: uncultured bacterium
Lineage: Bacteria
Description: partial 16S ribosomal RNA
Rfam family: Bacterial small subunit ribosomal RNA
Source: RNAcentral
CCCGUCACAUCAUGAAAGCCGGUUGUACCCGAAGUCCGCAAGCAAACUCGCAAGAGGAGCAGCGGCCGAAGGUAUGGCUGGUGAUUGGGAUG